RNAcentral lists this long non-coding RNA (2292 nucleotides) under Calidris pugnax (ruff). Its description in RNAcentral is "lncRNA (ENSCPUG00000012331.1)". Lineage: Eukaryota; Metazoa; Chordata; Aves; Charadriiformes; Scolopacidae. The record is from RNAcentral.
UGUGCAAAACGAUGCUUUAUUUCACUACGGCCAUCCUUCUAAUGAUGGCUAUUUGAUAUGGCACAAUUCAGGGUUAUUUUGAUCUUCUUACAUAAUAGCAAAAAGUAUGUGACCAACAAGGCCCACCACCAUGUGGUGGAUUUGGCAUAGAUUAAACAGCAGUGUUUAAUCACCUACUGUGAUUUAUGGGAGCAGUAUUAACCUGUCUGGUUUAGAAAGUCCACGUGGCAGAUGCCUCCUCCAGUAGAUGAUAAAAUUGAUCUAGCACUUUCUCCUAAUUCAGGUUGACCACAGAGUUGGUGGGACCCACUAGACCAGAUGCUGGGACAUCACUUGGAUACUCCUUUCCUGGUAGACAUUUCCUUCUGCCGGUCUUGGCGCCCCAUGAAAGGAAGAAUUUUCCAACACGGAUUUUGCUGCUUAGAUUUUUCUCGGUUACAUGCUGGGGAAGGCGGGCUCUUGGCCAGAGAGACUUCUUCCUGUCCUGUUUCAUCUCUCCCAUUCCUGAGGUAAGUGCCUUUUCUGAGGCAGUCACUGCUGAUGUGUUUUGCUGAUUCCCUUGCAAAACAAAUGUGAUGAUUUUUAAAAAUAGACUUUCUUAUUAUACAUUCACCAAACCUAGAACCGAUGUGAAUUCCAUUCUUUUCAGAAUUAUGGGGAAAUGACCCAUACACUUUGCUCUUACAAUUAUUUGACAUUCCAUUUUAUCAGUCUCUAUGGGUGUACAGGUUUCUGACACAAUACUAGGCAUGAGAUAUAGAUUCUUUAACAAAGUAAAUAAGUUAAAUAGUGGGUGUUAAUCACAAUGGACUUUAACUUUUGAUAAAUGGUUUUCUUCCAAAAAUAUUUGUCUUGCUGAGAUUCAUUUAGAAAAUUUGAGGAAGAUCUUCAACAGAAAAUACAAGACAAAUUCUCUUACACUCCAAAUAGGCCCCUGUAUUUUCAGACAAUAUAUUCUUACUUCUCAGAUAAUUGUAAUUCAUCACGGCAAAAAGUAAAACUCAGAUAGGUACCAUGAGUUUAACAGCAAUAGACCCCAACCUGGACACAUAUGUUGUUUCAGAGAUUUAGCUUUUAACGUCAAGGUUAAAAAGGUGAACCAAGAAUCUCUUCCAGAUUAGUGUCAGAUAGACUGAGGAUGUUUGCAGUGGAUAGUUACAGGAGGAGCAGGAAUUAAGUAAUUUGAACUGGAUGCCUCUUUCUGUCAAACACUGAGAUAUUCAUAAUUUCCAGAUUAUGAAUAUUUAUUGUUUAACCGCCUGGUAAUGACUUUGAUACAAGUAAGAGGUCCUUAAAGUAAAAUAACUUGGUAUUUGUGGAGGAAAAAAAUAACUGUGUAUAAAAUGCUAACAGUACAAUCUCACAAGUAGCCCAUUUACUUUUUGGACUCAUUUUCGCAGUCAGAUUUACGCAGUGUAUUUUUGGAUUUUAUUUGCUGGUUUCAAGCUGUAAAAUAAGUUACAAUAUGUGUGUGCAUGUGCAUUUGUCUGUGCAUCUGUGUGUAAACCAGAAACUACCAAUAAUAAUGUGCUUGCUGCUUCUUAAGUUAUGUGGGCAUACUGUAAUUUAUGUCCUUCCCUUUUGACACUGUAAUCCUUUCAUAGGAAUGUCACAUGCAGUUUAAUUCUUCUUCUCCUCUGUAUUUUUGAUUUAAUUGCUAUAAUCAGUGCAAAUACUUCCUCAUUUACAUACAUUUCCCUCUGUGUAUGCAUAUGCAUACAGAUCUACACAAAAUAGUUUCUCCAAAUGCAUUUCAAAUCACCAGAGUGAAAUAUCUGAGAGCAAGUAACACAACUGAAGUAAAAAAAAAAACCAACAACCAAAAAAGCCCCAAACCCCAGAGUCUUACCUUGUCAAGACAGACAUAAAGCAGGAUGGAAAGCACUGCACAGUAGCAUUUUGCAUUUUCCGGAACAAAAUAAGUGAGGGACUUCCGGAUGCAUGAAUGGCUUUUCAGGUUUAUUUUAUUAUUAUUGGCUUCCUGAUGGUGUUCAGCAAGGAAAUAGCUGAGCACAUUAGCAGCUUUAAUGUUCCUUCUCAUUUCAGUUCACCUCUGAGGUAAAAAUUUAUGUUAAUUCUGUGGGUGGGGAACUGCCUCAAUUUAGAAAGCAUCUAUCACAUGUGAAUCUAAUUAGAUUGCAUGCUCAUGUAAAACAUCCCAUGUUAAAACGGGCCUUUUUUCAUCAAUAUUUCCAUUACAGUGCCAGGUUUCCUAGUGAUGAUGUCAGUACAAUGCCAGCUUUUACAAUGAUUUAAUAAUAAACACUUUAUCUUUGAUAUAUGAAGGAGCCA